RNAcentral lists this transfer RNA (77 nucleotides) under Candidatus Brocadiaceae bacterium. RNAcentral's name for it is "tRNA-Val". It matches the Rfam family "tRNA". Rfam says of the family: Transfer RNA (tRNA) molecules are approximately 80 nucleotides in length. Their secondary structure includes four short double-helical elements and three loops (D, anti-codon, and T loops). Lineage: Bacteria; Pseudomonadati; Planctomycetota; Candidatus Brocadiia; Candidatus Brocadiales; Candidatus Brocadiaceae. The record is from RNAcentral.
GGGCGGUUAGCUCAGUUGGUUAGAGCGCCAGCUCGACAAGCUGGAGGCCACUGGUUCGAGUCCAGUACCGCCCACCA